AAUGUACGAUCGGGUUUUACACUGACACAUUCCAUUCCCAGGGAUGAGCAGGAGAGAGAUACCUUCCUCUUAUCUCAACUGCAAAGAGGUCUUCCUCUUUCACUAAUCCUCCUCAGCACAGACCCUUUAUGGGUGUCAGGCUGGGGGACAGUCUGGUCUUUCUCUUUCCAUGAGGCCAUAUCUCAGGCUGUCUCAGUGGAGAGAAACCUUGGACAAUACACAGGCUUUCUUGGGCAGAGAUCCCUGUGGCUUUCUGCAGUGCAUUGUGUCCCUGGGUACUCGAGACUGGAGAAUGGCCAUGACUUUUACCAAGCAUACUGCCUGCAAACACAUUUUUACCAAGGCACAUCCUGCACAGCCCUAAGUCCAUUAAACCUUGAGUCAAUACAAUACAUGUUUCUGCAAGCAUAGGGUUGGGGCUAGGGUUACAGAUUAACAGCAUCUCAAGGCAGAAUAAUUUCUCUUAGUACAGAUCAAAAUGGAGUUUCUUUUGUCUUCCUUUUUCUACAUAGAUGCAGUAAUAGUCUGAUCU
Molecule: long non-coding RNA, 532 nt
Filed under: Homo sapiens (human)
Lineage: Eukaryota; Metazoa; Chordata; Mammalia; Primates; Hominidae
Description: non-protein coding lnc-ZNF649-1:1
Source: RNAcentral